AUUCUGUGAUGGGAACACUUUCUCAAUAGUGACUUGAAUCAAUCCCAAGCUUCAUAUAAAACUUCAACGUCAAAUUGCUUGAAGUUGGCGAUCUCUUGACAGAGU
This 105-nucleotide small nucleolar RNA is filed under the name Gossypium hirsutum (cotton). RNAcentral describes it as "Plant small nucleolar RNA R71". It matches the Rfam family "Plant small nucleolar RNA R71". Rfam says of the family: R71 is a member of the C/D box family of snoRNAs containing the C (UGAUGA) and D (CUGA) box motifs. Multiple nearly identical copies of this snoRNA have been identified in Arabidopsis, and it is thought to function as a 2'-O-ribose methylation guide for 18S ribosomal RNA. The record is from Rfam by way of RNAcentral. Lineage: Eukaryota; Viridiplantae; Streptophyta; Magnoliopsida; Malvales; Malvaceae.